UACGUAGGGGGCGAGCGUUGUCCGGAAUUACUGGGCGUAAAGGGUGCGUAGGCGGCCGUUUAAGUUGGAUGUGAAAUACCCGGGCUUAACCUGGGGGGUGCAUUCAAGACUGGACGGCUAGAGUGCAGGAGAGGGAAGCGGAAUUCCUAGUGUAGCGGUGAAAUGCGUAGAUAUUAGGAGGAACACCAGUGGCGAAGGCGGCUUUCUGGACUGUAACUGACGCUGAGGCACGAAAGCGUGGGGAG
Molecule: ribosomal RNA, 245 nt
Filed under: uncultured Eubacteriales bacterium
Lineage: Bacteria; Bacillati; Bacillota; Clostridia; Eubacteriales
Description: uncultured Clostridiales bacterium partial 16S ribosomal RNA
Rfam family: Bacterial small subunit ribosomal RNA
Source: RNAcentral